RNAcentral lists this small nuclear RNA (68 nucleotides) under Cervus elaphus hippelaphus. Lineage: Eukaryota; Metazoa; Chordata; Mammalia; Artiodactyla; Cervidae. The record is from RNAcentral.
CAGCACACAUACUAAAAUUUGAACAGUGAGAAGAUUAGCAUGACCCUUGCACAAGGAUGACCCACAAA